This 68-nucleotide transfer RNA is filed under the name Marmota monax (woodchuck). RNAcentral's name for it is "tRNA.Ala". Lineage: Eukaryota; Metazoa; Chordata; Mammalia; Rodentia; Sciuridae. The record is from RNAcentral.
GGAUUGUGGCUCAGCGGUAGAGCGCUUGCCUAGCACAUGUGAGGCCCUGGGUUCGAUUCUCAGCACCA